This 875-nucleotide ribosomal RNA is filed under the name uncultured crenarchaeote. RNAcentral's name for it is "bacterial SSU rRNA". It matches the Rfam family "Archaeal small subunit ribosomal RNA", at positions 21 to 903 of the family's 1478-position model. The record is from RNAcentral. Lineage: Archaea; Thermoproteati; Thermoproteota.
CCUGACUGCUAUCGGAUUGAUACUAAGCCAUGCGAGUCUUUGCAGUAAUGCAAGGCAUACGGCUCAGUAACACGUAGUCAACUUACCCUAUGGACGAGGAUAAUCUCGGGAAACUGAGCAUAAUACUCGAUAGAUCAUAAUGCCUGGAAUGGUUUAUGGUUGAAAUGAUUCGUCGCCAUAGGAUGGGACUGCGGCCUAUCAGCUUGUUGGUGAGGUAAUGGCCCACCAAGGCGAUUACAGGUACGGGCUCUGAGAGGAGAAGCCCGGAGAUGGGUACUGAGACUAGGACCCAGGCCCUAUGGGGCGCAGCAGGCGAGAAAACUUUGCAAUGUGCGAAAGCACGACAAGGUUAAUCCGAGUGAUUUCUGCUAAAGAAAUCUUUUGCAAGUCAUAAAACCACUAGUGAAUAAGGGGUGGGCAAGUUCUGGUGUCAGCCGCCGCGGUAAAACCAGCACCUCAAGUGGUCAGGAGGAUUAUUGGGCCUAAAGCAUCCGUAGCCGGCUCUGUAAGUUUUCGGUUAAAUCCAUGUGCUCAACGCAUGGGCUGCCGAAAAUACUGCAUAGCUAGGGAGUGGGAGAGGUAGACGGUACUCGGUAGGAAGGGGUAAAAUCCUUUGAUCUAUCGAUGACCACCUGUGGCGAAGGCGGUCUACCAGAACACGUUCGACGGUGAGGGAUGAAAGCUGGGGGAGCAAACCGGAUUAGAUACCCGGGUAGUCCCAGCUGUAAACGAUGCAGACUCGAUGAUGCAUUGGCAUAUAGCCAGUGCAGUGUCGCAGGGAAGCCGUUAAGUCUGCCGCCUGGGAAGUACGUACGCAAGUAUGAAACUUAAAGGAAUUGGCGGGGGAGCACCACAAGGGGUGAAGCCUGCGGUUC